This 506-nucleotide ribosomal RNA is filed under the name uncultured bacterium. Its description in RNAcentral is "partial 16S ribosomal RNA". It matches the Rfam family "Bacterial small subunit ribosomal RNA", at positions 28 to 523 of the family's 1533-position model. The record is from RNAcentral.
GAUGAACGCUAGCUACAGGCUUAACACAUGCAAGUCGAGGGGUAACAAGAGGAAAGCUUGCUUUUCUUGUUGACGACCGGCGCACGGGUGAGUAACGCGUAUCCAACCUGCCUAUAACUAGGGAAUAACCUUGCGAAAGUAAGACUAAUACCCUAUGAUUUCCUUUGAUGACAUCAGAUUAGGAAUAAAGAUUUAUCGGUUAUAGAUGGGGAUGCGUCUGAUUAGCUUGUUGGCGGGGUAACGGCCCACCAAGGCAACGAUCAGUAGGGGUUCUGAGAGGAAGGUCCCCCACAUUGGAACUGAGACACGGUCCAAACUCCUACGGGAGGCAGCAGUGAGGAAUAUUGGUCAAUGGGCGGAAGCCUGAACCAGCCAAGUAGCGUGCAGGGUGACGGCCCUAUGGGUUGUAAACUGCUUUUAUACAGGAAUAAAGUUAGCCACGUGUGGUUAUUUGUAGGUACUGUAUGAAUAAGGACCGGCUAAUUCCGUGCCAGCAGCCGCCGUAA